GAUGAACGCUGGCGGCGUGCCUAAUACAUGCAAGUCGAGCGCACGGACGAGAAGCUUGCUUCUCUGAUGUUAGCGGCGGACGGGUGAGUAACACGUGGAUAACCUACCUAUAAGACUGGGAUAACUUCGGGAAACCGUAGCUAAUACCGGAUAAUAUUUUGAACCGCAUGGUUCAAAAGUGAAAGACGGUCUUGCUGUCACUCAUAGUCGGAUCCGCGCUGCAUUAGCUAGUUGGUAAGGUAACGGCUUACCAAGGCAACGAUGCAUAGCCGACCUGAGAGGGUGAUCGGCCACACUGGAACUGAGACACGGUCCAGACUCCUACGGGAGGCAGCAGUAGGGAAUCUUCCGCAAUGGGCGAAAGCCUGACGGAGCAACGCCGCGUGAGUGAUGAAGGUCUUCGGAUCGUAAAACUCUGUUAUUAGGGAAGAACAUAUGUGUAAGUAACUGUGCACAUCUUGACGGUACCUAAUCAGAAAGCCACGGCUAACUACGUG
This 497-nucleotide ribosomal RNA is filed under the name uncultured bacterium. RNAcentral's name for it is "partial 16S ribosomal RNA". It matches the Rfam family "Bacterial small subunit ribosomal RNA", at positions 28 to 507 of the family's 1533-position model. The record is from RNAcentral.